This is a long non-coding RNA of Gopherus flavomarginatus (Mexican gopher tortoise), 588 nucleotides long. RefSeq lists it as uncharacterized. The record is from RefSeq and is a predicted model, not a curated record. Lineage: Eukaryota; Metazoa; Chordata; Testudines; Testudinidae. The transcript is spliced from 2 exons.
GGGCAGUACACCGUACUGCUCACCGACACAGUAGCCUGAACUUUUAAACUGUCUUUUCCUUUCUACCUCAAAGCAGAAAAAUCUUGCUUCAAACCAGUUUUUACUGAACUGAUAACAGAGUGCGGGGCUUGACAACCUACCAAUCAAGUGUUAACACGCAAGGGUCUUUGUCUGAAUGUGUAUAAAAGGUUUGUGAAAUUUGUGUAAGACAGAGUCUUUUGUACCAAGGUACAGGCUCUCCUUUCUUCUGCGAAAUAAAGCAAUUUUCCUUAUCCCUGUCAGGCUGUUAUUGGCUCUCAGCUCGGCAAACUCAAUAUUUCGGUAACAGUUUCUGGCCACCCCAGACGGGACUCUCCUAGCUCGAACAUCGGACUCCGGACAGCUACAGUGAACUAGGAGCAGCGCCACUGGGAUGCUUAACCCCUCUUCUUCACUUCUCCGCAGCCCCUGGGGUUCGUGCUCCGAUAAGGGUGAAAGCCAUUGCGUGCGAUGAAGCUCUGAGGUUGAGUUGAGAUCCUUUUGUCCUGUCCCCUGUAGCGGUCAGUGUAUAGAAGUAAAAAAACCUAAAUUAAACAGUAAUUCCCUCUG